Molecule: ribosomal RNA, 404 nt
Filed under: uncultured bacterium
Lineage: Bacteria
Description: bacterial SSU rRNA
Rfam family: Bacterial small subunit ribosomal RNA
Source: RNAcentral
CGAGGAAUAUUGCACAAUGGGCGAAAGCCUGAUGCAGCAACGCCGCGUGAGGGACGAAGGCCUUCGGGUCGUGAACCUCUUUUCUGGGGGACGAGUAAGGACGGUACUCCAGGGAUAAGUCUCGGCUAACUACGUGCCAGCAGCCGCGGUAAAACGUAGGAGGCGAGCGUUAUCCGGAUUUACUGGGCGUAAAGCGUACGCAGGUGGCUUCGUUAGUCGGACAUGAAAGCUCCUGGCUUAACUGGGAGAGGUUGUUCGAUACUGCGGGGCUUGAGGUUGGGAGAGGGACGUGGAAUUCCCGGUGUAGUGGUGGAAUGCGUAGAUAUCGGGAGGAACACCAGUGGCGCAAGCGGCGUCCUGGCCCACACCUGACGCUGAGGUACGAAAGCGUGGGUAGCAAACAG